AGAGUUUGAUCAGGGCUCAGAUUGAACGCUGGCGGCAGGCUUAACACAUGCAAGUCGAGCGGCAGCGGAAAGAAGCUUGCUUCUUUGCCGGCGAGCGGCGGACGGGUGAGUAAUGUCUGGGGAUCUGCCCGAUGGAGGGGGAUAACUACUGGAAACGGUAGCUAAUACCGCAUAAUGUCGCAAGACCAAAGUGGGGGACCUUCGGGCCUCACACCAUCGGAUGAACCCAGAUGGGAUUAGCUAGUAGGUGGGGUAAUGGCUCACCUAGGCGACGAUCCCUAGCUGGUCUGAGAGGAUGACCAGCCACACUGGAACUGAGACACGGUCCAGACUCCUACGGGAGGCAGCAGUGGGGAAUAUUGCACAAUAGGGGAAACCCUGAUGCAGCCAUGCCGCGUGUGUGAAGAAGGCCUUCGGGUUGUAAAGCACUUUCAGCGGGGAGGAAGGCAAUGGCGUUAAUAGUGUCAUUGAUUGACGUUACCCGCAGAAGAAGCACCGGCUAACUCCGUGCCAGCAGCCGCGGUAAUACGGAGGGUGCGAGCGUUAAUCGGAAUUACUGGGCGUAAAGCGUACGCAGGCGGUCUGUUAAGUCAGAUGUGAAAUCCCCGGGCUUAACCUGGGAACUGCAUUUGAAACUGGCAGGCUAGAGUCUCGUAGAGGGGGGUAGAAUUCCAGGUGUAGCGGUGAAAUGCGUAGAGAUCUGGAGGAAUACCGGUGGCGAAGGCGGCCCCCUGGACGAAGACUGACGCUCAGGUACGAAAGCGUGGGGAGCAAACAGGAUUAGAUACCCUGGUAGUCCACGCUGUAAACGAUGUCGAUUUGAAGGUUGUGGUCUUGAGCCGUGGCUUUCGGAGCUAACGCGUUAAAUCGACCGCCUGGGGAGUACGGCCGCAAG
Molecule: ribosomal RNA, 895 nt
Filed under: uncultured bacterium
Lineage: Bacteria
Description: bacterial SSU rRNA
Rfam family: Bacterial small subunit ribosomal RNA
Source: RNAcentral